This 325-nucleotide ribosomal RNA is filed under the name uncultured eukaryote. RNAcentral describes it as "partial 18S ribosomal RNA". It matches the Rfam family "Eukaryotic small subunit ribosomal RNA", at positions 1470 to 1796 of the family's 1831-position model. The record is from RNAcentral.
CCCUUAGAUGUUCUGGGCCGCACGCGCGCUACACUGACACAGGCAACGAGCUUUCCUUUACCGAAAGGUAUGGGUAAUCUUUUGAAACUGUGUCGUGCUGGGGAUAGAUCCUUGCAAUUUUUGAUCUUACACGAGGAAUUCCUAGUAAGCGCGAGUCAUCAACUCGCGUUGAUUACGUCCCUGCCCUUUGUACACACCGCCCGUCGCUCCUACCGAUUGGGUGUGCUGGUGAAAUGUUCGGAUCGGCCGUUUGUCGCGGUUUCCGCGUCAUGUGGCUGAGAAGUUCAUUAAACCCUCCCACCUAGAGGAAGGAGAAGUCGUAACA